Molecule: ribosomal RNA, 633 nt
Filed under: uncultured bacterium
Lineage: Bacteria
Description: bacterial SSU rRNA
Rfam family: Bacterial small subunit ribosomal RNA
Source: RNAcentral
UGCAGUCGAACGGUAACAGGAAGCAGCUUGCUGCUUCGCUGACGAGUGGCGGACGGGUGAGUAAUGUCUGGGAAGCUGCCUGAUGGAGGGGGAUAACUACUGGAAACGGUAGCUAAUACCGCAUAAUGUCGCAAGACCAAAGAGGGGGACCUUCGGGCCUCUUGCCAUCGGAUGUGCCCAGAUGGGAUUAGCUUGUUGGUGGGGUAACGGCUCACCAAGGCGACGAUCCCUAGCUGGUCUGAGAGGAUGACCAGCCACACUGGAACUGAGACACGGUCCAGACUCCUACGGGAGGCAGCAGUGGGGAAUAUUGCACAAUGGGCGCAAGCCUGAUGCAGCCAUGCCGCGUGUAUGAAGAAGGCCUUCGGGUUGUAAAGUACUUUCAGCGGGGAGGAAGGGAGUAAAGUUAAUACCUUUGCUCAUUGACGUUACCCGCAGAAGAAGCACCGGCUAACUCCGUGCCAGCAGCCGCGGUAAUACGGAGGGUGCAAGCGUUAAUCGGAAUUACUGGGCGUAAAGCGCACGCAGGCGGUUUGUUAAGUCAGAUGUGAAAUCCCCGGGCUCAACCUGGGAACUGCAUCUGAUACUGGCAAGCUUGAGUCUCGUAGAGGGGGGUAGAAUUCCAGGUGUAGC